Molecule: unclassified non-coding RNA, 132 nt
Filed under: soil metagenome
Description: partial internal transcribed spacer 1
Source: RNAcentral
UUGAUAAUGUAGCUUAUGCUAUCAUUAAACAUGUGCACCGUUACUGCCAUUUGGCGGCCGAAAGGUCGUCGUCUGGCCCCAAUUUUUAAUUUACUAGCAACUUUUUGUACCAGUAAUCAUAAAAUCUUAUGA